Molecule: ribosomal RNA, 253 nt
Filed under: uncultured bacterium
Lineage: Bacteria
Description: partial 16S ribosomal RNA
Rfam family: Bacterial small subunit ribosomal RNA
Source: RNAcentral
UACAGAGGAGCCAAGCGUUGUCCGGAUUGACUGGGCGUAAAGCGCACGCAGGCGGACGCGCGCGUGGGGUGUGAAAUCUGGCCGCUUAACGGCCAGGCGCCAUCCCAUACGGCGGGUCUGGAGUGAUGCAGAGGUCGAUGGAAUUGCCGGUGUAGUGGUGAAAUGCGUAGAGAUCGGCAGGAACACCCAGGGGGAAACCAGUCGACUGGGCAUCUACUGACGCUGAGGUGCGAGAGCGUGGGGAGCGAACCGG